This 465-nucleotide ribosomal RNA is filed under the name uncultured bacterium. Its description in RNAcentral is "partial 16S ribosomal RNA". It matches the Rfam family "Bacterial small subunit ribosomal RNA", at positions 339 to 795 of the family's 1533-position model. The record is from RNAcentral.
CUACGGGCGGCAGCAGUGGGGAAUAUUGCGCAAUGGGGGAAACCCUGACGCAGCAACGCCGUGUGAGGGAUGAAGGCUUUCGGGUCGUAAACCUCUGUCAGGCAGGACGAAACAUCUAAACAUGAAUAAUGUUUAGAUCUGACGGUACUGCCAGAGGAAGUCCCGGCUAACUCCGUGCCAGCAGCCACGGUAAUACGGAGGGGGCAAGCGUUGUCCGGAAUUAUUGGGCGUAAAGCGCGCGUAGGCGGUUUGUUAAGUCAGAUGUGAAAGUCCAUGGCUCAACUAUGGAAGUGCAUUUGAAACUGGCAGACUUGAGUACUGGAGGGGGUGAUGGAAUUCCCGGUGUAGAGGUGAAAUUCGUAGAUAUCGGGAGGAAUACCGGUGGCGAAGGCGAUCACCUGGCCAGAUACUGACGCUGAGGUGCGAAAGCGUGGGGAGCAAACAGGAUUAGAUACCCGAGUAGUC